Molecule: ribosomal RNA, 497 nt
Filed under: uncultured bacterium
Lineage: Bacteria
Description: partial 16S ribosomal RNA
Rfam family: Bacterial small subunit ribosomal RNA
Source: RNAcentral
GAUGAACGCUGGCGGCGUGCCUAAUACAUGCAAGUCGAGCGAACAGACGAGGAGCUUGCUCCUCUGACGUUAGCGGCGGACGGGUGAGUAACACGUGGAUAACCUACCUAUAAGACUGGGAUAACUUCGGGAAACCGGAGCUAAUACCGGAUAAUAUAUUGAACCGCAUGGUUCAAUAGUGAAAGACGGUUUUGCUGUCACUUAUAGAUGGAUCCGCGCCGCAUUAGCUAGUUGGUAAGGUAACGGCUUACCAAGGCAACGAUGCGUAGCCGACCUGAGAGGGUGAUCGGCCACACGGGAACGUAGACACGGUCCAGACUCCUACGGGAGGCAGCAGUAGGGAAUCGUCCGCAAUGGGCGAAAGCUUGACGGAGCAACGCCGCGUGAGUGAUGAAGGUCUUCGGAUCGUAAAACUCUGUUAUUAGGGAAGAACAAAUGUGUAAGUAACUAUGCACGUCUUGACGGUACCUAAUCAGAAAGCCACGGCUAACUACGUG